Molecule: ribosomal RNA, 933 nt
Filed under: Triticum aestivum (bread wheat)
Lineage: Eukaryota; Viridiplantae; Streptophyta; Magnoliopsida; Poales; Poaceae
Description: partial small subunit ribosomal RNA
Source: RNAcentral
AUGGACGUGGUGAAGGCGGCGCAGCUGUCGGGGCGGACGCUGGAGAAGGUGGUGGUGCACCCGCUGGUGCUGCUCAGCAUCGUCGACCACUACAACCGCGUCGCCCGCGACACCAGGAAGCGCGUCGUCGGCGUGCUCCUCGGCACCUCCUCCCGCGGCGUCGUCGACGUCACCAACUCCUACGCCGUGCCGUUUGAGGAGGAUGACAAGGACCCGAGGAUCUGGUUCCUCGACCAUAAUUACCAUGAGUCUAUGUUCUCCAUGUUCAAGAGGAUCAACGCCAAGGAGCAUGUUGUUGGCUGGUACAGCACUGGUCCAAAACUAAAGGAGAACGACUUGGAUGUUCAUGCAUUGUUUACCAACUAUGUUCCUAAUCCUGUCCUGGUGAUUAUUGAUGUUCAACCCAAGGAGUUGGGAAUACCCACCAAAGCAUAUUAUGCUGUAGAAGAGGUUAAAGAGAAUGCUACUCAGAAAAGUCAGAAGGUGUUCGUCCACGUGCCAUCAGAAAUUGCAGCCCAUGAAGUCGAGGAAAUUGGAGUUGAGCACCUUCUGAGGGAUGUGAAAGACACAACAAUAAGCACACUUGCAACAGAGGUCAGCAGCAAGCUUGCAGCCCUGAAAGGACUCGAUGCGAGGCUUACGGAGAUCCGGGGUUAUCUAGAUCUUGUAAUUGAAGGGAAGCUCCCACUGAACCACGAGAUUCUGUACCACUUGCAGGAUGUGUUUAAUCUGCUCCCCAAUCUCAACGUAAAUGAGCUCAUUAAAGCGUUUGCAGUGAAAACAAAUGAUAUGAUGCUGGUCAUUUACCUGUCUUCUCUUAUCCGGAGUGUCAUUGCUCUCCACAAUUUGAUCAACAACAAGAUGCUAAACAAGGAACACGAGAAGGCCGAGGAUUUGAAGCCAGCCGCCGUACCUACUGCAGCCGGGAGCUGA